GCGGAUGUGGUGGAAUUGGUAGACACGCACGCUUGAGGGGCGUGUGGCGUAAGCCUUGCGAGUUCGAGUCUCGCCAUCCGCA
This is a transfer RNA of 82 nucleotides. It matches the Rfam family "tRNA". Rfam says of the family: Transfer RNA (tRNA) molecules are approximately 80 nucleotides in length. Their secondary structure includes four short double-helical elements and three loops (D, anti-codon, and T loops). Further hydrogen bonds mediate the characteristic L-shaped molecular structure. tRNAs have two regions of fundamental functional importance: the anti-codon, which is responsible for specific mRNA codon recognition, and the 3' end, to which the tRNAs corresponding amino acid is attached (by aminoacyl-tRNA synthetases). tRNAs cope with the degeneracy of the genetic code in two manners: having more than one tRNA (with a specific anti-codon) for a particular amino acid; and 'wobble' base-pairing, i.e. permitting non-standard base-pairing at the 3rd anti-codon position. The record is from Rfam.